UUGAACUUUAUUUAAACGGUUUUAGAUUCAUAUGCAAGUGCAGUAAAAGAUAUUACAAAAACGAAAGGAAAAUCUGAUUUGGGGACAGAUGUUUCAGAUAUCGACAAUGAAACAAUGCAAUAUAAACGUAAACGAGCAAGGAACUCAUAUUUGCCUUUAUCAGACACUGAUAUAUGCAGUACUCCAGAAAUAAAUUUUUGUUUGCAAAAGGGUAACUCACAACUAGCUGAACCGAAAACAAAAAAAGCCAUAAAAAGUUAACAAUAUUGUAGGAAGAUCUUCCUGAACCACCUGCUUUUUCAAGUUAUAACACUCCAGAAUAUGUGACAAGCAGAUCAAGUGGUCUAUCUAGCAUUCUGUUAUCAUUUUCUAAACCUUAUAGAAAACCACUUUUAAAAUAAUUUCCAUCAUACUCUUCAGAUGGAUGGUUGUAUUCAGCUGCAACACUAUAUAUUCAGAUUUUCCGACUUUUUCAACUUUUUUACAUCAAACUAGUAAGAUUUUACAAGCAACACUUGGAUCUGGCUGCUUGACACCUGGCAUCUAGCUGAUUGGCUUCUGGCACCAAAUUAUUAAAAAAGCAUGAAAUUUGGUUAUCAUUAUUAGAAUGUAAAGCAAAUUGAUAUUGGUUACGUUGCACAUUGAAUCUGUAAUGUACAAACCUUAAAAGUAAAACCCUAAAAUCAAUUAUUGCACGUAAUGACGGUUUUUUAGAAUUGAUUACUUUAUUGUAUAUUAAAAACCUAUGUGUGUUUGUUUUUAUUUUAGUAUUUUAGACUCUAAAUGGAAAAAAAAAAAAGAAAAAAAGAAAAGGCUGUAUCUUUGGGUAUUUAUAUUUAGCAAAACCAAUAAUUUUUUUUUUACAUAUACUUUUUAAAAGAGAUUUUAAAAAAUUUGUUUGAAAACAAGGAGUGUGGGUUACAGUUUGUCAAUCGAUAUUUGUCUACAAUAAACAUCUGAAGAGUAUCCUACAAAGGGCAGCAUUGUUUAAAAGGAAAUGCUUGUAAUAAGAUGCUUAUAAACACAGACAGCUUUGAGCUGUUUUUUUAGGAGUCCAGUCUUGGAGAUCUCUUAUCCAAAUACGUUAAGGUACUUAGAGAUUUCGAAAAAAUAGUUUAUGGCUGUUUUGGAAAAUCAUCAAGCUCUACAUAUGUCAAAGAUAUGGAGCAGUUGUCUACGAGCUAUAGAAAUCCAGGGGCAACAAUUCCUUUGAAAGUACACAUAGUUGAGCAGAAUAUAAUCAAAUUCAUCGACAUGAAAGGUUACUGGAUCGAACAAGCUCUCGAAUUCAUUCACCAGGAUUUCAAUCAGUUUAGACGAAUGAGAAAAAUUAGAGAACACAGCUCAAUCUAUAUUGAAGCGCUAAAAAACGCAGUUGUUGCUUACAAUUACAAACACUUUUAAAGUAGCGUUGAAGCUCUAAAAAACGCAGCUUUCAAUUUGCAGGUAGCUUGUAAAAAGUAUAAUACUAACCUCUUAUGAAUAAUUGUUUAACAUAAUUUCUCAAUAUAUGAUAUGAUUAUA
Non-coding RNA from Hydra vulgaris (swiftwater hydra), 1524 nucleotides. Lineage: Eukaryota; Metazoa; Cnidaria; Hydrozoa; Anthoathecata; Hydridae. The record is from RefSeq and is a predicted model, not a curated record.